ACAACAAAGUCAUACAUUUUCUUGAUUUAAAAUCAAAAUGUAGGAUUCCCAACAGCGAAUUGGUCAAUUAUCUUAAAAUUAGUGCAUCUCUCUUGAAAAAUGUAUUAUGCAUACUUGAAUAACAUUAACUCCAGAGAACCUCUUGACUCUAGAGAACCUCGGGCAAAUCGCACAUUUCCGUGACGGCGACUUUGCAUUCGGAUGUCAUCCAUACCUACCAUGGUGACCACGGGUAACGGGAAUCAGGGUUCCAUUCCGUACAGGGAACCUGAGAAAUGGCUACCACAUGCAAGGAAGGCAGCAGGCGCUCAAAUGACCCACUCCCGACACGGGAAGGUAGUGAU
Pelobates cultripes (western spadefoot toad) is the source of this 344-nucleotide non-coding RNA. Lineage: Eukaryota; Metazoa; Chordata; Amphibia; Anura; Pelobatidae. The record is from the annotation of a GenBank genome assembly.